This 1522-nucleotide ribosomal RNA is filed under the name metagenome. Its description in RNAcentral is "bacterial SSU rRNA". It matches the Rfam family "Bacterial small subunit ribosomal RNA". The record is from RNAcentral.
AGAGUUUGAUCAUGGCUCAGAUUGAACGCUGGCGGCAGGCCUAACACAUGCAAGUCGAACGGUAACAGGAAGCAGCUUGCUGCUUCGCUGACGAGUGGCGGACGGGUGAGUAAUGUCUGGGAAGCUGCCUGAUGGAGGGGGAUAACUACUGGAAACGGUAGCUAAUACCGCAUAAUGUCGCAAGACCAAAGAGGGGGACCUUCGGGCCUCUUGCCAUCGGAUGUGCCCAGAUGGGAUUAGCUUGUUGGUGGGGUAACGGCUCACCAAGGCGACGAUCCCUAGCUGGUCUGAGAGGAUGACCAGCCACACUGGAACUGAGACACGGUCCAGACUCCUACGGGAGGCAGCAGUGGGGAAUAUUGCACAACGGGCGCAAGCCUGAUGCAGCCAUGCCGCGUGUAUGAAGAAGGCCUUCGGGUUGUAAAGUACUUUCAGCGGGGAGGAAGGGAGUAAAGUUAAUACCUUUGCUCAUUGACGUUACCCGCAGAAGAAGCACCGGCUAACUCCGUGCCAGCAGCCGCGGUAAUACGGAGGGUGCAAGCGUUAAUCGGAAUUACUGGGCGUAAAGCGCACGCAGGCGGUUUGUUAAGUCAGAUGUGAAAUCCCCGGGCUCAACCUGGGAACUGCAUCUGAUACUGGCAAGCUUGAGUCUCGUAGAGGGGGGUAGAAUUCCAGGUGUAGCGGUGAAAUGCGUAGAGAUCUGGAGGAAUACCGGUGGCGAAGGCGGCCCCCUGGACGAAGACUGACGCUCAGGUGCGAAAGCGUGGGGAGCAAACAGGAUUAGAUACCCUGGUAGUCCACGCCGUAAACGAUGUCGACUUGGAGGUUGUGCCCUUGAGGCGUGGCUUCCGGAGCUAACGCGUUAAGUCGACCGCCUGGGGAGUACGGCCGCAAGGUUAAAACUCAAAUGAAUUGACGGGGGCCCGCACAAGCGGUGGAGCAUGUGGUUUAAUUCGAUGCAACGCGAAGAACCUUACCUGGUCUUGACAUCCACGGAAGUUUUCAGAGAUGAGAAUGUGCCUUCGGGAACCGUGAGACAGGUGCUGCAUGGCUGUCGUCAGCUCGUGUUGUGAAAUGUUGGGUUAAGUCCCGCAACGAGCGCAACCCUUAUCCUUUGUUGCCAGCGGUCCGGCCGGGAACUCAAAGGAGACUGCCAGUGAUAAACUGGAGGAAGGUGGGGAUGACGUCAAGUCAUCAUGGCCCUUACGACCAGGGCUACACACGUGCUACAAUGGCGCAUACAAAGAGAAGCGACCUCGCGAGAGCAAGCGGACCUCAUAAAGUGCGUCGUAGUCCGGAUUGGAGUCUGCAACUCGACUCCAUGAAGUCGGAAUCGCUAGUAAUCGUGGAUCAGAAUGCCACGGUGAAUACGUUCCCGGGCCUUGUACACACCGCCCGUCACACCAUGGGAGUGGGUUGCAAAAGAAGUAGGUAGCUUAACCUUCGGGAGGGCGCUUACCACUUUGUGAUUCAUGACUGGGGUGAAGUCGUAACAAGGUAACCGUAGGGGAACCUGCGGUUG